CAGUCGUCUAGCUUCUGAUAUGUUGGAGGCACUGAUGUGCUCUCAAGAUUGGCUUAGGAACAAGUAUAAAUAUGAUCGCAGUGGAGAUGCUGCAAGUUUCUGGUCUUGCCUUCAAGACAUUCAAGAGGGGUUGCAGGAUUUGACAAUUUGAUUGCUGGAAUAAGGAAGCUGAAGCUGUUGAUCCAUUGUCCAAAUGAUGAAGCUACUGCCUGCUGGUUUGUUCUCAGAUUCUACUGGUCUGCUGGCUGAAUGCUGAAGCUGGUCUCUUAUUGAUGAAUAAUGGGCUGUGAAGCUCCUACUUAUUCUUUUUAUCAUAUGAACUAUUGCCUUAAGUA
Molecule: long non-coding RNA, 335 nt
Organism: Lolium rigidum
Lineage: Eukaryota; Viridiplantae; Streptophyta; Magnoliopsida; Poales; Poaceae
Exons: 3
Source: RefSeq, a predicted model, not a curated record